AAUUGCUCCUGUAGAGGCGCAAUUUCUCUCAGACAAUGGAAGUCUCAGCACACAUACAUUCCUCACACAGAGCCAAAAAUCCAUAUCAAAUCAAAUCAAAAUAGCCGACUUCCUGUUGGUCGUAGCUAAUGACUGUAUAUUAGACAGUUGUCCGGCUUGAUAAGAACAAUAUAUGUACCGAGUCUGGUGUCUGUUGGUGUCAUGUUAUCUGCUUCAAAAUCAACAGAAAAUAAUGUUCAAGUUUGACAUGUUGCCAUGGCAACAAUAUUAUAGAUAUUAAUAUCCCCUCAAUAGUUUUGUAUCGGCCGUGUUUUGACAUUAUUCUGAUGAAGUUUGAAGCAAAUUGAGUAAAAAUACGAUGCUGAAUUCAAAGCAUUUUUAAAAUGACACACUUCCUGCUGUCAGUUGGUGGCGCUAUAACUUUGACUCCUAAUAGUUACAUCUAUGCGAUCGGCAUCAUACAUCGAACAAUCCGAUGAAGUUUGAUCUAAAUCAGAAAAUGUAUGUGGAUGUUAUUAGACAUUUCCUGUUUCUCAUUUUUUGCCCUAAUUUCAACGCCUCGCCAUGGACAAACCGUUCAAGAUAUCAAAAAUCCCCUGGCAAUUUUUCAUCCCCUAUGUCUUGAGAUCAUGUUCACCGAGUUUCGUGGAGAACGGGUGGAAAACCUCAGAGGAGUAUUUCAAAUUCCAGAGCAUGCUUUUUUGAAACAGCCCUGAAUAGCCGACUUCCUGUUGGGCGGAGCCUAUUGCAUGAAAAGGGAAAGUUGUUCGGCUCAAUGAGAUCUAUAAGUGUACAGAGUUUCAUAUAAAUACAUGCAAGUAUGUGUGAGCUAUGGUUCAAGAUAUAUGACUGUGUUCCAGGGGGCGCUGUAGAGCCCCUGUGCCACGCCCGGGUCCCAGUCUCUGCGGCGUCCUAAUGACCGCAGAUUCCAAUGUGUGUGCCAAUUUUCAAGAGUUUUUGAGUACGUUAAGGCUCCCAAAAAGACCCGUUUAGUCGAAAGAAAAAUAAAAAAAAUAAUAAUAAUAAUAAUAAUUAAAGCUGCAAGCAGCGAUGAACGGGCCCUCGCACCCGGGC
This is a long non-coding RNA of Cyprinus carpio carpio, 1074 nucleotides long. NCBI's taxonomy places the organism in Eukaryota, Metazoa, Chordata, Actinopteri, Cypriniformes, Cyprinidae. The record is from Ensembl.